RNAcentral lists this unclassified non-coding RNA (2027 nucleotides) under Pollicipes pollicipes. RNAcentral's name for it is "uncharacterized LOC119090493, transcript variant X1". Lineage: Eukaryota; Metazoa; Arthropoda; Thecostraca; Pollicipedomorpha; Pollicipedidae. The record is from RNAcentral.
UCAAGCCCUCCAGUUGUGGAAUUGUUAUGUUAUUUGUCUAUGGGACCGCUUGAUGCGGAUUGUUUGCGCCGGUGUUCCGAGCAGGUAAGACAGCACCAGCUGCCAGCGACCUGGCCGCCAGCCGCAGCCAGCGUAAGAUCUCCUACUCUCACAGGGAAAUGGCAGUGACGUGUGUUUUCAACUCACUGUCACGCUUGCGCGACAAACGUUGUCACUGGCUGGGUGUGCUGACCGGUGGAAAUGUUUUUGUCUCACAUGAACGUCGUCUGCGCCGCUGCGGUCCGCUGUACAGUGUGCUCUGUCGGUGCCGGCAGUGUCGCGUGGCUGGCGCCAGGCAGUGGACGACAGCCUGGGGCGCCGCCAUGACCUCCACCUUACCAGAGACGACGUGAAGCACGCCAACAACAAGCGCAUGGAUCGGCUUCUACGCCGCAUGCCGUCCCUGCGGCGGCUCACAACCGACCAUGACUUCUCACCGCCGGCGCCGUUAUCCGUUGACGUCGUCUCCCGGCUCUCAAGACACCUGGAAAGCGUGGAUUUGUUCCACUUCGACGCGGCCCCACAGCCUCUGGAGGGGCUGUGGACCAGGUGUCCCCGGCUGGGGGACGUCACGCUGCCUCGCGGGUCUGCCGAGCGGUGCGCGGAGGUGCUGCUUCGCCGCCUGCCGUCCCUGCGGCGGCUGGACGUGGCGCGGAGUGACGUGCGGGGAGAGUGUUUAUCGCUGCUCCCCGAGUCAUUGGAGGCUCUCUCGGUGGCCUGGUGUCGACAUCUACAGCCGGCCUGCCUGCGUCAGCUGACCCGCUGUCCUCGGCUGCGGCGGCUGGACGUGUCAGGUGUGGAGGGGCUGCAGGCGGCAGACCUGGCGGCGGUGCUGGCCGGCUGUCCACAGCUGGAGCGGCUGACGGCGAGGGGGCUGAAGCCGGCGCUGGAGCUCUGCCUGCCGCCGGCCGGCCUCCCCUCCCUCCGACACCUGGACGUGACGUGCUCCCGUGAAGUCACCGACUCCACGCUGAAGCGGCUGCCCGACCUGCUGCCAGGCCUGCACUCACUCAGCAUAGACAGUGAGCAUAUUCCACAUCACGCAGUUUCCGUGUAUUCCGUAGUGGCAACACGGUGAUGGUGCAGCUGAAGUGACGCAUUAAAGCCAGCUGUUCCAUAUCAAUAGGACACGCUCCCGACCCCGCAUGCCGUGGCUCCGCCAUGGAGUUGCGAAAGGCGGUGUUGUUUACAGCACCAGCGGUUCAGCCGCUGUUCAUGUUCUGACGUCAUCUGGCGAUCACGUGACGGUGCUGAUGCAUUGGACCCGGUCCGGCUUCUUGUGUGUUUCAGCGUGUUUCGGGGUGACGGCUGUUGGGCUGGACAGCCUGCCGCGGCUCAGGCAGCUGUGUCAGCUGAACCUGGCCUGGCUGCCCGCUGUGACGGACGCCACACUGGACCGGCUACACGGGCCGCGUCUGAGGAUGCUGGACCUGACCGAGUGCCAGUCUUGUUCAACAGAUGGUGUCACACGGCUGGUGCUCAGCUGUCCGUCGCUGACGGCACUGGGGUGGAGGUGGUGGUCUGACCUACGACCGGACCAGGUCCCUGGUAGACAGCCUGGUGCGCCAGCUGCCCCCGAACCGUGACGUCACACUCGAGGUCUCCGGUAGGUGGAUGUCGCACCCGCUCUCCUCCGUGUCGACGGAUGGAGCGAACUGAGCGUUCGUCGCUCCGUCAAUGGGAUCGUUGAUUAUGCGCCCCAGGCUAUUUAUCGGAGGCUGGAAUUGUCGCGCCAAGUCUGGUCCGACGGCUGAGCUCCGAGUCAGCCAACUAAGCAGUGAUUGCACGUUGAAAGUGCAUCGCACCGCAUCCUCGUCGGGGAUACGUCUGGGUGACCGUGUUACCUUCCAUUGUUACACUGCACUCCCGGCGGUCGCUUGUUCACGUGGCGCCUGGGUUGCCGCGGUGAGAAGACGGAGCGCACGACCCAGUGCUGCGGUGACCGGUGUUUGUGUGAGCCAGCCGCCGUGUGUGUUCGGUGGCUGAUG